GAUGAAGAACGUAGUGAAAUGCGAUACGUAAUGUGAAUUGCAGAAUUCAGUGAAUCAUCGAAUCUUUGAACGCACAUUGCGCCCGCCAGCACUCUGGCGGGCAUGCCUGUCCGAGCGUCAUUUCAACCCUCGAGCACCGCUCGGCGUUGGGGGAGCGGCCCGCGCGCCGCCCCCCGAAAUGCAGUGGCGACCUCGCCGCGUUCCUCCCCUGCGCAGUAGCUCUCAAGAGAACCUCGCAUCGGCGGCGCGGCGGCGGUCACGCCGUGAAACACCCCCCUCAAGAGUUGACCUCGGAUCAGGUAGGGAUACCCGCUGAACUUAAGCAUAUCAAUAAGCGGAGGA
RNAcentral lists this unclassified non-coding RNA (342 nucleotides) under soil metagenome. RNAcentral describes it as "partial contains 5.8S ribosomal RNA, internal transcribed spacer 2, and large subunit ribosomal RNA". The stretch from base 1 to 120 matches the Rfam family "5.8S ribosomal RNA", at positions 35 to 154 of the family's 154-position model. The record is from RNAcentral.